This 490-nucleotide ribosomal RNA is filed under the name uncultured bacterium. RNAcentral's name for it is "partial 16S ribosomal RNA". It matches the Rfam family "Bacterial small subunit ribosomal RNA", at positions 30 to 507 of the family's 1533-position model. The record is from RNAcentral.
AUUGAACGCUGGCGGCAGGCCUAACACAUGCAAGUCGAACGGUAACAGGAAGCAGCUUGCUGCUUUGCUGACGAGUGGCGGACGGGUGAGUAAUGUCUGGGAAACUUCCUGAUGGAGGGGGAUAAGUACUGGAAACGGUAGCAAAUACCGCAUAACGCCGCAAGACCAAAGAGGGGGACCUUCGGGGCUCUUGACAUCGGGUGGGCCCAGAUGGGAUUAGCUAGUAGGUGGGGUAACGGCUCACCUAGGCGACGAUCCCUAGCUGGUCUGAGAGGAUGACCAGCCACACUGGAACUGAGACACGGUCCAGACUCCUACGGGAGGCAGCAGUGGGGAAUUUUGCACAAUGGGCGCAAGCCUGAUGCAGCCAUGCCGCGUGUAUGAAGAAGGCCUUCGGGUUGUAAAGUACUUUCGGCGGGGAGGAAGGGAGUAAAGUUAAUACCUUUGCUCAUUGACGUUACCCGCAGAAGAAGCACCGGCUAACUCCGUG